This 456-nucleotide ribosomal RNA is filed under the name uncultured bacterium. RNAcentral's name for it is "bacterial SSU rRNA". It matches the Rfam family "Bacterial small subunit ribosomal RNA", at positions 28 to 476 of the family's 1533-position model. The record is from RNAcentral.
GAUGAACGCUAGCUACAGGCUUACCUCAUGCAAGUCGAGGGGCAGCAUUGGAGUACCAAUACUUCAAAUGGCGACCGGCGCACGGGUGAGUAACACGUAUCCAACCUGCCGCUUACUCGGGGAUAGCCUUUCAAAAAAAAGAUUAAUACCCGAUGGUAUAAAGAGUUCGCAUGUUCUCUUUAUUAAAAAAUUUCGGUAAGCGAUGGGGAUGCGUUCCAUUAAAUUGUUGGCGGGGUAACGGCCCACCAAGUCUACAAUGGAUAGGGGUUCUGAAAGGAAGGUCCCCCACAUUGAAACUGAAACACGGUCCAAACUCCUACGGGAGGCAGCUUUGAGGAAUAUUGGUCAAUGGACAAGAGUCUGAACCACCCAAGUAGCGUGAAGGAUGACUGCCCUAUGGGUUGUAAACUUCUUUUAUAAGGAAAUAAAGUGAGGGACGUGCCCCUUUUUGUAUGU